UACGAAGGGGGCUAGCGUUGUUCGGAAUUACUGAGCGUAAAGCGCGCGCAGGCGGUCUUCCAAGUCAGUGGUGAAAGCCCGGAGCUCAACUCCGGAACUGCCAUUGAAACUGUUGGACUUGAGUACGAGAGAGGUGAGUGGAAUUCCCAGUGUAGAGGUGAAAUUCGUAGAUAUUGGGAGGAACACCGGUGGCGAAGGCGGCGACCUGGUCCGAUACUGACGCUGAGGCGCGAAAGCGUGGGGAGCAAACAGG
Molecule: ribosomal RNA, 253 nt
Filed under: uncultured bacterium
Lineage: Bacteria
Description: partial 16S ribosomal RNA
Rfam family: Bacterial small subunit ribosomal RNA
Source: RNAcentral